Molecule: ribosomal RNA, 875 nt
Filed under: uncultured bacterium
Lineage: Bacteria
Description: bacterial SSU rRNA
Rfam family: Bacterial small subunit ribosomal RNA
Source: RNAcentral
AGAGUUUGAUCAUGGCUCAGGAUGAACGCUGGCGGCGUGCUUAACACAUGCAAGUCGAACGCUGAAGCCCCAGCUUGCUGGGGUGGAUGAGUGGCGAACGGGUGAGUAACACGUGAGUAACCUUCCCUUGACUCUGGGAUAAGCCCGGGAAACUGGGUCUAAUACCGGAUACGACCUCCUGCCGCAUGGUGUGGGGGUGGAAAGAUUUAUCGGUUUUGGAUGGACUCGCGGCCUAUCAGCUUGUUGGUGAGGUAAUGGCUCACCAAGGCGACGACGGGUAGCCGGCCUGAGGGGGUGACCGGCCACACUGGGACUGAGACACGGCCCAGACUCCUACGGGAGGCAGCAGUGGGGAAUAUUGCACAAUGGGCGCAAGCCUGAUGCAGCGACGCCGCGUGAGGGAUGACGGCCUUCGGGUUGUAAACCUCUUUCAGUAGGGAAGAAGCGAAAGUGACGGUACCUGCAGAAGAAGCGCCGGCUAACUACGUGCCAGCAGCCGCGGUAAUACGUAGGGCGCGAGCGUUAUCCGGAAUUAUUGGGCGUAAAGAGCUCGUAGGCGGUUUGUCGCGUCUGCCGUGAAAGUCCGGGGCUUAACCCCGGAUCUGCGGUGGGUACGGGCAGACUAGAGUGCAGUAGGGGAGACUGGAAUUCCUGGUGUAGCGGUGAAAUGCGCAGAUAUCAGGAGGAACACCGAUGGCGAAGGCAGGUCUCUGGGCUGUUACUGACGCUGAGGAGCGAAAGCAUGGGGAGCGAACAGGAUUAGAUACCCUGGUAGUCCAUGCCGUAAACGUUGGGCACUAGGUGUGGGGGACAUUCCACGUUUUCCGCGCCGCAGCUAACGCAUUAAGUGCCCCGCCUGGGGAGUACGGCCGCAA